Molecule: long non-coding RNA, 429 nt
Filed under: Mustela putorius furo (domestic ferret)
Lineage: Eukaryota; Metazoa; Chordata; Mammalia; Carnivora; Mustelidae
Description: lncRNA (ENSMPUG00000031362.1)
Source: RNAcentral
AUUUCAGGAUUGGAUUUCUCGAUAAUUUCAGUGACUGAGAGAAUACAUUAAAUCAGCAGGGUAAAAUCCCCAUCAUGAAGAGGCUUUCCCAUGAUAAAAUGCAUCCUGUGAUCUCCUAGCACAGCUGAAGAAUCACCAUCCCAGUUUGUUGGCUUCACAUGGCCAGUUCCUGCUCUCAGUCUCCUGGGAUGUGACAGUGUACUUCUGGCAACGCAAAGCUGGUGGCAGCACAACAAGCAAGCUUCCCAGAAGAUUAAAGGAGAAGACAUUUACAUAUGAUGUACUCAACAUUUCUUCUACAUUACCAGAUGUUUAAGAAUGCCAAACAUUGUAUGUCCCAUGUUUAAUAUUUAUACUCUGCCUCUUUCCUAAUAAUAGAACAAAUAUAUUAUAGGGACAUUAAACUGAAGAUAGAUGAGAACAUUAUAU